RNAcentral lists this ribosomal RNA (301 nucleotides) under uncultured bacterium. RNAcentral's name for it is "partial 16S ribosomal RNA". It matches the Rfam family "Bacterial small subunit ribosomal RNA", at positions 509 to 808 of the family's 1533-position model. The record is from RNAcentral.
CAGUAGCCGCGGUAAUACGUAGGGGGCAAGCGUUGUCCGGAAUUAUUGGGCGUAAAGCGCGCGCAGGCGGUCAUUUAAGUCUGGUGUUUAAUCCCGGGGCUCAACCCCGGAUCGCACUGGAAACUGGGUGACUUGAGUGCAGAAGAGGAGAGUGGAAUUCCACGUGUAGCGGUGAAAUGCGUAGAUAUGUGGAGGAACACCAGUGGCGAAGGCGACUCUCUGGGCUGUAACUGACGCUGAGGCGCGAAAGCGUGGGGAGCAAACAGGAUUAGAGACCCCUGUAGUCCCUGUCUCUUAUACA